Small nuclear RNA from Paramormyrops kingsleyae, 160 nucleotides. Its record names the gene U1. It matches the Rfam family "U1 spliceosomal RNA". From Rfam's summary of the family: U1 is a small nuclear RNA (snRNA) component of the spliceosome (involved in pre-mRNA splicing). Its 5' end forms complementary base pairs with the 5' splice junction, thus defining the 5' donor site of an intron. The record is from Ensembl. Lineage: Eukaryota; Metazoa; Chordata; Actinopteri; Osteoglossiformes; Mormyridae.
AUACUUCCCUGGCAGGGGAGACACCGUGAUCAGGAAGGGGGGGGUCACCCAGGGUGGCACUCUGGGGCUUUGCUGACCCCCCCCCCCCAAAUUCCCCACAUGCGGGAAUCUCCACUGCAUAACUUCUCACAGUGAGGAACUGCGUUCAUGCUCCCCCCUC